Molecule: long non-coding RNA, 3989 nt
Organism: Triticum dicoccoides
Lineage: Eukaryota; Viridiplantae; Streptophyta; Magnoliopsida; Poales; Poaceae
Exons: 2
Source: RefSeq, a predicted model, not a curated record
CAAACCUUAUCUUCUUCCUCCUGUAAUCGAACCUCCUUCUUGGGUUCUUCCUUCCUGUCCACGUCUCCUUCUCUGAAUUCGACGAUUCCACACCCCGGCCAUGGCUAGGGAGUUCUACCCGAGGGUAGCAUCUACCGCUACGGGCUGCGCACGGCUGAGCUGACGGAGGUGUGCGAGUUGGGAGCUCUGAGAUACCAGCGUCGUAGAGCUGGCACCUUCGAGCCUCAUGGCCAGGAUAUCUUCUUCUUCAACGUAAUACCUUACGUGGAAAGUAUGGUUAGACUUAGGUCCUGUUUGGAUGUCCACCUGCUUCCUGAAAUUUCGGAAUCUGUGGAGCACCCACUUGCCCGCUCCGCGAAUUUUAACUGGAGCUCCGCCCGCUCCGGGAGUGGCCUCGUGGAGCGGAGCGUCUCCGAACAGGCUCUUACUGCUUAGUCAGCCUAGCUUCAUUAGAGGCAUUUACUUUCAGCUUGCGAUAAGCCUCAUGUGUUUUUUCAUGCGUAUUCCUCAUAUGUAAAACGGUAUUUGUACUGGUUGGGAUAAAAUCUGCAACAAUAUUCUAAUAAAAGCUAAAAAAAAGUGGGUCCAUCCGCAUCCACCAGAUCCACCUCAUCCUGAGACAGUGAGAUUGACACCGCACCCAAGUGCGCGCUGCUUAAUUGAACCUUGCAAGCCCAAAAUCACCGACAUGGGCAACCAUGUUGUUGUCGAGGAGAAUAUUGCUUGGCUUGAGGUCACAGUGAACAAUUGGAAACGGCUUCUGAUGAUGCAAAUAGUCAAGCGCAGAAGCCACGUGCAUGGCAAUCUGGAGUCUCUGAAUGAGAUCUAGCAUCUUGGGUUCGUUAUCUUCCUCGAGAUGCUUGUGUAGCCACUGGUCUAGAUUUCCAUUUGGCAGAAACUCAAACACAAGAGCCUUGAAGUCGCCACCUCGAGUGUCAAUACUUGAGCACACUGUUAUAACCUUCACAAGGUUCCGAUGGUGGAUACAUCUCCAAGCCUCACAUUCCGCAUCGAAACUUCGGGAUGCGCCAGCAUGUUGCAGGUUGAGUACCUUCACUGCCACCAUCACUUGUUGGCCAGAGAUUUCCAUUCUUCCCUUGUACACUGCACCAAAGCUGCCCACCCCAAUGAGGUUUUCGGAUGUGAAACCAUCUGUUGCCUUGACCAAUUCAGCAUAAGAAACUCUUAUGUAUUUGUCAUUGGGGAGAGUUAUCUGUGGCUUUGCUCUUAUAAGCUUGCUUCUUUUACAUAACACGAACAUUGCGGAUAGUAUGACCAACAGAAUUCCGGCGCCUGCUGCGAUAAUCAUGAGAAGCUUUGAAGAUAUUCUCCUUUUAGUGGGACUGGAGCACAUUUUCAACUUGAGUUGAGGGAUCCCACCACACAGAGCACUGUUUCCCAUGACCGAGGUUGCAGCUGCAUUGAGGAAUAUUCCGUCUUUCGGAACUUCACCUUCAAAAUCAUUGGAAGAGAGAUUUAAACUAGCAAGGCCUUUCAUGGUACCGAGGAACUCAGGAAUGCUCCCAGAUAAAUUAUUCCGAGAAAGAUCAAGCACUACGAGGCCCCGUAACUGUCCUAGUGACAGCGGAAUCGUCGCGUCGAGAUGGUUCCCAGAUAAAUUGAGGUACUGUAAGCUUCAACACUCCCCAAUAUUGGUAGGAAUCUUUCCUGAAAUCAUAUUGUCAGAGAGAUCAAGUUCACCUAGAUUCCUGAGAUUUCCCACUUCUGAAGGCAAAGUCCCAGUCAGUGAAUUAUGUGCAAGAUACAUGGAACUCGACAAGCUUGAGAUGAGGAAGAGUUCCUUAGGUGUUGGGCCGGAAAGAUUGUUGUAAGAAAGAUCCAGCUCCUCUAAAGGACAGUUGCUGAGAGCAGAAGGGAUGGCUCCACUGAGCGCAUUAGUAUUAAGCAGAAGGGUUGUAAGCUUUGUAAGAUUUCCAAGAGCCACUGGGAUAGAUCCUGACAAGUUGUUAUUUGACAGAGAUAACCGAUUCAACUUCUUAAGCUUGCCGAGAGAUGCUGGGAUGGUGCCCUGGAGAAGAUUAUUUUCCAUGUCAAGUUCAUCCAAGUUGAUGAAGUUCCCUAUUGCUUCAGUUAUCGUCCCUGCUAUGCUGUUGGAUGCAAUGCCAAGAAACUCCAUCUGUGUCGACAAAUUGCCGAUUGAUUUCGGUAGCACACCUUGGAGCUUGUUUUCACUAACAUCCACUAAUAUCAUAUUGCUGCAGUUGGUCAGACUAGUAAGGAAGCCCCAUUCAGCAUCGUUGGUUGCUUCAAGCUGAUUCCCCGCAAAGUUCACCACAGAGAGCAUCUCCUGGCGAGCCCCCAGGCACCGAGGGAUCGUUCCCGACAGGAAGUUGUUUACUGUCUGAACCAUCUGUAGCAUGGAAGCAUUGCACAAGGACGGCGGGAUCACGCCAUGAAACUGGUUAUCAGACACAAGAAAGGACUGGAGACUCGUCAUCGUGUCGCCCAUGUCGAGCGGAAAGCCCCCGGUGAGGUUGUUGUGCUGGACGUUGAACAUCUCAAGAGAGGAGAGGUUGAACAAUGAGAGUGGCAGAGGGCCUUGUAGCUCAUUGUUGUCCAGGUAAAGCUCAGCGAGGGCAUGGAGGUUCCCAAUGGCGUCCGGUAUCUUGCCGACAAGCUUGUUCUCCGCGAACGAAACGGCUUCAAGCAACCCAAGGUUCCCUAUAGACUCCGGGAUGCGCCCCACAAAGCCAUUGCUCUGGAGGUUUAAGGAUGCCAGCGACGAGAGGUUGCCUAGCCAAGAAGGUAUGGUUCCGCCGAGGUGGUUGUCUUCCAAAUGGAGCGUGCUGAGGGAUGACAGGCCCUGUAAUGAGGAGGGUAUGCUCCCUGACAGCCGGUUCGAGAAGGCGGUGAGGGCGGUUAGCGCCGACAGGUUCCCCAGCGAGGCCGGGAUGGAGCCUGACAGCUGGUUGGACGCGAGGCCGAGGCCGACGAGGCUGGCGAGGCUGCCGACCUGCCAUGCGAUCUCUCCUGUCAGGUUGUUGAACUCCAGGACCAGCAGCUUGAGGUUGACGAGGCCGCCGACGCCGGAAGGGAUGCUUCCUGUGAGCCUGUUCUGGCCGAGGUUGAGCACCUCGAGGCUCCGAAGCGAGCCCAACAGCUCCGGCGGGAUGUGCCCCUGAAGCUUGUUGGUGUGGAGCAGGACGGUCCUGAGCCGCCUGCACAGGGAGAGCGACGGCGGGAGGCGGCCCCCGAUGGCGUUGCCGCUGAGGUUGAGGUGGCUGAGCUCGCGCAGGCGGCCGAGCUCCGGCGGCAGCGCGCCCUGGAGGCGGUUGCCGGGGAGGUGGAGCCGCCUCAGGUGCGUGAGGUUGGCCAGCGCCGGGGUGAGCGUGCCGAGAAGGCCGAGCCCGGGGAGGUCCAGCGCGACGACGCGGCCACGGCGGCGGCCCCUCAUGCCGCAGGACACACCGCGCCACUGGCACGGCGGCGGCGCGGGCCCGUCGUGGGCGCUGCUGCUCGUCCAUGACGCCAGGGCCCGUGUCGGGUCGCCCCUCACGAGCGACCUGAAGGAGAGCAGCGCGUUGUAAUCCGCGGCGCUGGCGGCAUCGGGCUCCGGUGCGCCGGGCAGCGCGUGAGUGGCGACGGAGCACGCGAGGAAGAAGACGGCGACGAGGAGGAGGGACAGUGCUGCCAUUGCCAUUGCCGUUGCCGCCCCGGCCGACGGUGCUGUGGCAAGCAAAGUGAUUGUGGAGUGUGGACUGGACGCGGCGGAGAGCAUACGUGCGAGACAGAGAGGUAGAUAGAGAGAGAGAGAGAUAUUUGGCUCGGGUGAGUGUUGCGUAUAAACAAACUGUAGCCACCGGUGGCGACGCGUCGUCGUCGUUUGGCAACGGCGGGUUGAAUUUUUCUGGGACGGGGGCCACCGGCAGCGUGAUGCGAUCCGUGGCUUGUUUCGUCUCUCUGAGGACUCUGGGCCAAUGAGCCAUGAGUAGUCGAGGUCAGUGAUAUGAAAAGCUGGUGGCCGCUUU